UGGGGAAUUUUGGACAAUGGGGGCAACCCUGAUCCAGCCAUCCCGCGUGUGCGAUGAAGGCCUUCGGGUUGUAAAGCACUUUUGGCAGGGAAGAAACAGCCUGGGAUAAUACCCCGGGCGACUGACGGUACCUGCAGAAUAAGCACCGGCUAACUACGUGCCAGCAGCCGCGGUAAUACGUAGGGUGCAAGCGUUAAUCGGAAUUACUGGGCGUAAAGCGUGCGCAGGCGGUUCGGAAAGAAAGGUGUGAAAUCCCAGGGCUUAACCUUGGAACUGCACUUUUAACUACCGAGCUAGAGUACGUCAGAGGGGGGUAGAAUUCCACGUGUAGCAGUGAAAUGCGUAGAGAUGUGGAGGAAUACCGAUGGCGAAGGCAGCCCCUGGGAUGAUACUGACGCUCAUGCACGAAAGCGUGGGGAGCAAACAGGAUUAGAUACCCUGGUAGUCCACGCCCUAAACGAUGUCAACUAGCUGUUGGGGUUUUAUUAACCUUAGUAGCGCAGCUAACGCGUGAGUUGACCGCCUGGGGAGUACGGUCGCAAGAUUAAAACUCAAA
This 556-nucleotide ribosomal RNA is filed under the name uncultured bacterium. Its description in RNAcentral is "partial 16S ribosomal RNA". It matches the Rfam family "Bacterial small subunit ribosomal RNA", at positions 355 to 905 of the family's 1533-position model. The record is from RNAcentral.